This 490-nucleotide ribosomal RNA is filed under the name uncultured bacterium. Its description in RNAcentral is "partial 16S ribosomal RNA". It matches the Rfam family "Bacterial small subunit ribosomal RNA", at positions 30 to 507 of the family's 1533-position model. The record is from RNAcentral.
AUUGAACGCUGGCGGCAGGCCUAACACAUGCAAGUCGAACGGUAACAGGAAGCAGCUUGCUGCUUCGCUGACGGGUGGCGGACGGGUGAGUCAUGUCUGGGAAACUGCCUGAUGGAGGGGGAUAACUACUGGAAACGGUAGCUAAUACCGCAUAACGUCGCAAGACCAAAGAGGGGGACCUUAGGGCCUCUUGCCAUCGGAUGUGCCCAGAUGGGAUUAGCUAGUAGGUGGGGUAACGGCUCACCUAGGCGACGAUCCGUAGCUGGUCUGAGAGGAUGACCAGCCACACUGGAACUGAGACACGGUCCAGACUCCUACGGGAGGCAGCAGUGGGGAAUAUUGGACAAUGGGCGCGAGCCUGAUGCAGCCAGGCCGCGUGUAUGAAGAAGGCCUUCGGGUUGUAAAGUACUUUCAGCGGGGAGGAAGGGAGUAAAGUUAAUACCUUUGCUCAUUGACGUUACCCGCAGAAGAAGCACCGGCUAACUCCGUG